GGUUAAGCGACUAAGCGUACACGGUGGAUGCCCUGGCAGUCAGAGGCGAUGAAGGACGUGCUAAUCUGCGAAAAGCGUCGGUAAGGUGAUAUGAACCGUUAUAGCCGGCGAUGUCCGAAUGGGGAAACCCAGUGUGAUUCGUCACACUAUCGUUAACUGAAUACAUAGGUUAACGAGGCGAACCGGGGGAACUGAAACAUCUAAGUACCCCGAGGAAAAGAAAUCAACCGAGAUUCCCCCAGUAGCGGCGAGCGAACGGGGAGCAGCCCAGAGUCUGAUCAGCUUGUGUGUUAGUGGAACGGUCUGGAAAGUCCGACGGUACAGGGUGAUAGUCCCGUACACCAAAUGCACAGGUUGUGAACUCGAAGAGUAGGGCGGGACACGUGGUAUCCUGUCUGAAUAUGGGGGACCAUCCUCCAAGGCUAAAUACUCCGACUGACGAUAGUGAACCAGUACCGUGAGGGAAAGGCGAAAGAACCCCGGCGAGGGAGUGAAAAAGAACCUGAAACCGUGUACGUACAAGCAGUGGAGCACCUUCGGUGUGACUGCGUACCUUUUGUAUAAUGGGUCAGCGACUUAUAUUCUGUAGGCAAGGUUAACCGUAUAGGGGAGCCGCAGGGAAACCAGUCUUAACUGGGCGUUAAGUUGCAGGUAUAGACCCGAAACCCGGUGAUCUAGCCGUGGCAGGUUGAAGGUUGGGUAACACUAACUGGAGGACCAACCGACUAAUGUUGAAAAAUUAGCGGAUGACUUGUGGCUGGGGGUGAAAGGCCAAUCAAACGGGAGAUAGCUGGUUCUCCCCGAAAGCUAUUUAGUAGCGCCUCGUGAACUCAUCUUCGGGUAGACACUGUUUCGGCUAGGGGGUCAUCCCGACUUACCAACCCGAUGCAAACUACGAAUACCGAAGAAUGUUAUCACGGGAGACACACGGCGGGUGCUAACGUCCGUCGUGAAGAGGAAACAACCCAGACCGCCAGCUAAGGUCCCAAAGUCAUGGUUAAGUGGGAAACGAUGUGGGAAGGCACAGACAGCCAGGAUUUGGCUUAGAACAGCCAUCAUUUAAAGAAGCGUAAUAGCUCACUGGUCGAGUCGGCCUGCGCGGAAGAUGUAACGGGGCUAAACCAUGACCGAAGCUGCGGCAGCGACACUAUGUGUGUUGGUAGGGGAGCGUUCUGUAAGCCUGCGAAGGUGACCUGUAGGUGCUGAGGUAUCAGAAGUGCGAAUGCUGACAUAAGUAACGAUAAAGCGGGUGAAAAGCCGCUCGCCGGAAGACCAAGGGUUCCUGUCAACGUUAAUCGGGGCAGGGUGAGUCGACCCCUAAGGCGAGGCCGAAAGGCGUAGUCGAUGGGAAACAGGUUAAUAUUCCUGUACUUGGUGUUACUGCGAAGGGGGGACGGAGAAGGCUAUGUUAGCCGGGCGACGGUUGUCCCGGUUUAAGCAUGUAGGCUGAUUGUCCAGGCAAAUCCGGAUAAUCAAGGCUGAGGUGUGAUGACGAGGCACUACGGUGCUGAAGUAACAAAUGCCCUGCUUUCCAGGAAAAGCCUCUAAGCAUCAGGUAACAUUAAAUCGUACCCAAACCGACACAGGUGUCAGGUAGAGAAUACCAAGGGCGCUUGAGAGAACUCGGGUGAAGGAACUAGGCAAAUGGUGCCGUAACUUCGGGAGAAGGCCGCUGGUGUGUAGGUGAAUCCUGCGGAUGGAGCUGGACCAGUCGAGAUACCAGCUGGCUGCAACUGUUUAUUAAAAACAGCACUGUGCAAACACGAAGUGGACGUAUACGGUGUGACGCCUGCCCGUGCCGGAAGGUUAAUUGAUGGGUUAUCCGUAAGGAGAAGCUCUUGAUCGAAGCCCGGUAAACGGCGGCCGUAACUAUAACGGUCCUAAGGUAGCGAAUUCCUUGUCGGGUAAGUUCGACCUGCACGAAUGGCGUAAUGAUGGCCAGGCUGUCUCCACCCGAGACUCAGUGAAUUGAACUCGCUGUGAAGAUGCAGUGUACCGGCAAGACGGAAAGACCGUGAACCUUUACUAUAGCUUGACACUGAACAUUGAGCUUGAUGUGUAGGAUAGGUGGGAGGCUUUGAAGCGUGGACGCCAGUCUGCGUGGAGCCACCUUGAAAUCCACCUUUAUGUUUGAUGUUCUAACGUUGGCCCCUGACCGGGGUUGCGGACAGUGUCUGGUGGGUAGUUUGACUGGGCGGUCUCCUCCCAAAGCGUAACGGAGGAGCACGAAGGUUAGCUAUCCUGGUCGGACAUCAGGAGGUUAGUGCAAUGGCAUAGCUAGCUUGACUGCGAGCGUGACGGCGCGAGCAGGUGCAAAGCAGGUCAUAGUGAUCCGGUGGUUCUGAAUGGAAGGGCCAUCGCUCAACGGAUAAGGUACUCCGGGAUAACAGGCUGAUACCGCCCAAGAGUUCAUAUCGACGGCGGUGUUUGGCACCUCGAUGUCGGCUCAUCACAUCCUGGGGCUGAAGUAGGUCCAAGGGUAUGGCUGUUCGCCAUUUAAAGUGGUACGCGAGCUGGGUUUAGAACGUCGUGAGACAGUUCGGUCCUAUCUGCGUGGCGCUGGAGAAUUGAGGGGGGCUGCUCCUAGUACGAGAGGACCGGAGUGGACGCAUCACUGGUGUUCGGGUUGUCAUGCCAAUGGCACUGCCCGGUAGCUAAUGCGGAAGAGAUAAGUGCUGAAAGCAUCUAAGCCGAAACUUGCCCGAGAUGAGUUCUCCUGAGACUAUAAGUCUCCUGAAGGAACGUUAAAGACGAUGACGUUGAUAGGCCGGGUGUGUAAGCGCAGCGAUGCGUGAGCUACCCGGUACUAAUGAACCGUGAGGCUUAACCUU
This 2831-nucleotide ribosomal RNA is filed under the name Klebsiella pneumoniae. Its description in RNAcentral is "23S ribosomal RNA". It matches the Rfam family "Bacterial large subunit ribosomal RNA". The record is from RNAcentral. Lineage: Bacteria; Pseudomonadati; Pseudomonadota; Gammaproteobacteria; Enterobacterales; Enterobacteriaceae.